GACGAACGCUGGCGGCGUGCCUAAUACAUGCAAGUUGAGCGCUGAAGGUUGGUACUUGUACCAACUGGAUGAGCAGCGAACGGGUGAGUAACGCGUGGGGAAUCUGCCUUUGAGCGGGGGACAACAUUUGGAAACGAAUGCUAAUACCGCAUAAAAACUUUAAACACAAGUUUUAAGUUUGAAAGAUGCAAUUGCAUCACUCAAAGAUGAUCCCGCGUUGUAUUAGCUAGUUGGUGAGGUAAAGGCUCACCAAGGCGAUGAUACAUAGCCGACCUGAGAGGGGGAUCGGCCACAUUGGGACUGAGACACGGCCCAAACUCCUUCGGGAGGCAGCAGUAGGGAAUCGUCGGCCAUGGACGAAAGUCUGACCGAGCAACGCCGAGUGAGUGAAGAAGGUUUUCGGAUCGUAAAACUCUGUUGGUAGAGAAGAACGGUGGUGAGAGUGGAAAGCUCAUCAAGUGACGGUAACUACCCAGAAAGGGACGGCUAACUACGUG
RNAcentral lists this ribosomal RNA (497 nucleotides) under uncultured bacterium. Its description in RNAcentral is "partial 16S ribosomal RNA". It matches the Rfam family "Bacterial small subunit ribosomal RNA", at positions 28 to 507 of the family's 1533-position model. The record is from RNAcentral.